UCCCUGGUGGCUUAGAUGGUAAAGAAUCUUCCUACAAUGCAGGAGGCCCAGGUUCGAUCCCUGGUUUGGGAC
RNAcentral lists this transfer RNA (72 nucleotides) under Bos taurus (domestic cattle). It matches the Rfam family "tRNA". From Rfam's summary of the family: Transfer RNA (tRNA) molecules are approximately 80 nucleotides in length. Their secondary structure includes four short double-helical elements and three loops (D, anti-codon, and T loops). Lineage: Eukaryota; Metazoa; Chordata; Mammalia; Artiodactyla; Bovidae. RNAcentral also lists the same sequence under 5 other names. The record is from Rfam by way of RNAcentral.